GACGAACGCUGGCGGCGUGCUUAACACAUGCAAGCCGAACGAUGAAGCUAGAGCUUGCUCUGGUGAAUUAGUGGCGAACGGGUGAGUAACACGUGAGUAACCUGCCCCGAACUCUGGGAUAACUGCUGGAAACGGUAGCUAAUACUGGGUACGACCUACGAAGGCAUCUUCUGUAGGUGGAAAGAAUUUCGGUUCGGGAUGGACUCGCGGCCUAUCAGCUUGUUGGUGAGGUAAUGGCUCACCAAGGCGACGACGGGUAGCCGGCCUGAGAGGGUGACCGGCCACACUGGGACUGGGACACGGCCCAGACUCCUACGGGGGGCAGCAGUGGGGAAUAUUGCACAAUGGGCGCAAGCCUGAUGCAGCAACGCCGCGUGAGGGAUGACGGCCUUCGGGUUGUAAACCUCUUUUAGUAGGGAAGAAGCGAAAGUGACGGUACCUGCAGAAAAAGCACCGGCUAACUACGUGCCAGCCGCCGCAGUAA
This 484-nucleotide ribosomal RNA is filed under the name uncultured bacterium. RNAcentral's name for it is "partial 16S ribosomal RNA". It matches the Rfam family "Bacterial small subunit ribosomal RNA", at positions 28 to 523 of the family's 1533-position model. The record is from RNAcentral.